CCAUUGCGCUGCUUACACAUGCAAGUCGAACGCUGAAGCUUGGUGCUUGCACUGGGUGGAUGAGUGGCGAACGGGUGAGUAAUACGUGAGUAACCUGCCCUUGACUCUGGGAUAAGCCUGGGAAACUGGGUCUAAUACUGGAUAUGACCUCCUGUCGCAUGGUGGGGGGUGGAAAGGGUUUGUACUGGUUGUGGAUGGGCUCACGGCCUAUCAGCUUGUUGGUGGGGUAAUAGCCUACCAAGGCGACGACGGGUAGCCGGCCUGAGAGGGUGACCGGCCACACUGGGACUGAGACACGGCCCAGACUCCUACGGGAGGCAGCAGUGGGGAAUAUUGCACAAUGGGCGCAAGCCUGAUGCAGCGACGCCGCGUGAGGGAUGACGGCCUUCGGGUUGUAAACCUCUUUCAGCACGGAAGAAGCGAAAGUGACGGUACGUGCAGAAGAAGCGCCGGCUAACUACGUGCCAGCAGCCGCGGUAAUACGUAGGGCGCAAGCGUUGUCCGGAAUUAUUGGGCGUAAAGAGCUCGUAGGCGGUUUGUCGCGUCUGCUGUGAAAGCCCGGGGCUUAACCCCGGGUGUGCAGUGGGUACGGGCAGACUUGAGUGCAGUAGGGGAGACUGGAACUCCUGGUGUAGCGGUGAAAUGCGCAGAUAUCAGGAAGAACACCGAUGGCGAAGGCAGGUCUCUGGGCUGUUACUGACGCUGAGGAGCGAAAGCAUGGGGAGCGAACAGGAUUAGAUACCCUGGUAGUCCAUGCCGUAAACGUUGGGCACUAGGUGUGGGGGACAUUCCACGUUUUC
RNAcentral lists this ribosomal RNA (800 nucleotides) under Kocuria sp. JSM 2185023. Its description in RNAcentral is "bacterial SSU rRNA". It matches the Rfam family "Bacterial small subunit ribosomal RNA", at positions 39 to 841 of the family's 1533-position model. The record is from RNAcentral. Lineage: Bacteria; Bacillati; Actinomycetota; Actinomycetes; Micrococcales; Micrococcaceae.